GGCCCGCGCACGUAGGGACGCAGGGGGCGCUCCUCGCGCCGCGCAUGCGCGCUGGAGCUGCUGCGGUCCUGCCCCUCUGGUCAAGUCAGAGGCGGGUCUUGCAGCCCUGACGCUUUGGUUAUGCGGAGGGUGGUUUUGUGCAGGUGACAGCUUUUCGGUCUGCCCUCCACAUACGAACUCUCGAUAACUUUCAAGAGCCAGGUGAGAAGAGGGCAGUGUUAUACUAGGAGAAACCACUUGGAGAUAAUGCCAGGUGCUUUUCGGUGUGAUUUGCAGGAAAUUCUCCCACCAGAGACCCGUAUUAUGCCUGGCAUACAGGAGGCAUUCAGAACAUUUGAUGACUAGAAGUGUGUGUCUAUCUCAAUGACACAGGUCUCUAAAACCCUUGCUGACAGUGUUUGGACCAAGAGGCUGGCAGCUAUGAUGGGAGCUCUGGUAGAAGAUGCAGCAACAGAAGAAAAGGAAAACCACCAAACCAGCAAAGAAAGAAGAAUUUCAGCUCACACAAUUUCCUCCAGAACCAGGAUCUGCAAAGAGGAUCCCUUUCACAGAGAAAUAAGUAAACAGGAAAUUUUAACAAGACAGCCAGUGUUUUAUGCUUAAACGGAUUAACAGGAAGACAACAAAGGAGUUCUGUGCUGAUGAUUGCUUUAUUUCUGGCCUUUCUAGAAACAAACAAACAAAAAUC
Molecule: long non-coding RNA, 688 nt
Filed under: Canis lupus familiaris (dog)
Lineage: Eukaryota; Metazoa; Chordata; Mammalia; Carnivora; Canidae
Description: lncRNA (ENSCAFG00000053588.1)
Source: RNAcentral